UUUAAUUCGAUGCAACGCGAAAAACCUUACCUGGUCUUGACAUCCACAGAAUUUUUUAGAAAUAAAAAAGUGCCCUCGGGAGCUGUGAGACAGGUGCUGCAUGGCUGUCGUCAGCUCGUGUUGUGAAAUGUUGGGUUAAGUCCCGCAACGAGCGCAACCCUUAUCUCUUGUUGCCAUCGGUUCGGCCGGGAACUCAGGAGAGACUGCCGGUUAUAAACCGGAGGAGGGUGGGGACGACGUCAAGUCAUCAUGGCCCUUACGACCAGGGCUACACACGUGCUACAAUGGUUUAUACAAAGAGAAGCAAAUCUGCAAAGACAAGCAAACCUCAUAAAGUAAAUCGUAGUCCGGACUGGAGUCUGCAACUCGACUCCACGAAGUCGGAAUCGCUAGUAAUCGUGGAUCAGAAUGCCA
Molecule: ribosomal RNA, 414 nt
Filed under: uncultured bacterium
Lineage: Bacteria
Description: bacterial SSU rRNA
Rfam family: Bacterial small subunit ribosomal RNA
Source: RNAcentral